GGAAAUUGCCUUUCAGGCAUCCUCUCCCAAACUUUCCAGAGCCGCCCGGUUUCGAGCGGCUCUUUUUUUUGCUCAAG
RNAcentral lists this small RNA (77 nucleotides) under Novosphingobium sp. Fuku2-ISO-50. Its description in RNAcentral is "Makes More Granules Regulator RNA (mmgR)". It matches the Rfam family "Makes More Granules Regulator RNA (mmgR)". Rfam says of the family: SuhB later renamed mmgR (makes more granules regulator) was a putative non-coding RNA found multiple times in the Agrobacterium tumefaciens genome and related alpha-proteobacteria. Other non-coding RNAs uncovered in the same analysis include: speF, ybhL, metA, and serC. The record is from Rfam by way of RNAcentral. Lineage: Bacteria; Pseudomonadati; Pseudomonadota; Alphaproteobacteria; Sphingomonadales; Sphingomonadaceae.